RNAcentral lists this non-coding RNA (103 nucleotides) under Natranaerobius thermophilus. RNAcentral's name for it is "TPP sequence". It matches the Rfam family "TPP riboswitch aptamer (THI element)". From Rfam's summary of the family: Vitamin B(1) in its active form thiamin pyrophosphate (TPP) is an essential coenzyme that is synthesised by coupling of pyrimidine and thiazole moieties in bacteria. The previously detected thiamin-regulatory element, thi box was extended, resulting in a new, highly conserved RNA secondary structure, the THI element, which is widely distributed in eubacteria and also occurs in some archaea. RNAcentral also lists the same sequence under 1 other name. The record is from RNAcentral. Lineage: Bacteria; Bacillati; Bacillota; Clostridia; Natranaerobiales; Natranaerobiaceae.
GAACACCGCCGGGGGAGCCCCAAAAAUGGGCUGAGAGGGUAAACACCGACCCCAUAACCUGAACUGGUUAAUGCCAGCGAAGGGAGAGCGGUUGCCGUAGGCU